RNAcentral lists this ribosomal RNA (465 nucleotides) under Vreelandella stevensii. RNAcentral describes it as "partial 16S ribosomal RNA". It matches the Rfam family "Bacterial small subunit ribosomal RNA", at positions 338 to 795 of the family's 1533-position model. Lineage: Bacteria; Pseudomonadati; Pseudomonadota; Gammaproteobacteria; Oceanospirillales; Halomonadaceae. The record is from RNAcentral.
CCUACGGGUGGCAGCAGUGGGGAAUAUUGGACAAUGGGGGGAACCCUGAUCCAGCCAUGCCGCGUGUGUGAAGAAGGCCCUCGGGUUGUAAAGCACUUUCAGUGAGGAAGAACGCCUGGUGGUUAAUACCCAUCGGGAAAGACAUCACUCACAGAAGAAGCACCGGCUAACUCCGUGCCAGCAGCCGCGGUAAUACGGAGGGUGCGAGCGUUAAUCGGAAUUACUGGGCGUAAAGCGCGCGUAGGUGGCUUGAUAAGCCGGUUGUGAAAGCCCCGGGCUCAACCUGGGAACGGCAUCCGGAACUGUCAAGCUAGAGUGCAGGAGAGGAAGGUAGAAUUCCCGGUGUAGCGGUGAAAUGCGUAGAGAUCGGGAGGAAUACCAGUGGCGAAGGCGGCCUUCUGGACUGACACUGACACUGAGGUGCGAAAGCGUGGGUAGCAAACAGGAUUAGAUACCCGUGUAGUC